This 249-nucleotide ribosomal RNA is filed under the name uncultured bacterium. RNAcentral's name for it is "partial 16S ribosomal RNA". It matches the Rfam family "Bacterial small subunit ribosomal RNA", at positions 524 to 773 of the family's 1533-position model. The record is from RNAcentral.
UACGAAGGUGGCAAGCGUUACUCGGAAUUACUAGGCGUAAAGGGCAGGUAGGUGGUUUGGUUAGUCUGUUGUGAAAGCUCCUUGCUUAACGGGGAGAGGUCAACAGAUACUGCCAGACUUGAGUAUGGGAGAGGGUACUGGAAUUCCCGGUGUAGCGGUGAAAUGCGCAGAGAUCGGGAGGAACACCAAUGGCGAAAGCAGGUACCUGGACCAUUACUGGCACUCAGCUGCGAAAGCUAGGGAGCAACA